CAGCCGACCAAGCGCCACCUUAAGGUUGAAGAGUACGUUACUCCUGAGAAGUUCAAAUACUGGGAAGAAGUAGGAAAUGAACUUGGAUUUCACUACACUGCAAGUGGCCCUUUGGUGCGAUCUUCAUAUAAAGCAGUACGCACAAGAGGCUCGGAUCCUGGGUGAUCUUUUCGGAUGUCGGUUGCGUUCAGGUCGUACUUGUAAGAUGACAGAGAGGAGUGACCUCUCAUGAUCCUCAUAAGAUGAAGCCUCUGGGGCUGCGCUGCAACAGGAAACGCUGCGCUCAUCUGAAGCUACACUGAACGGAGCCUCAUGGGCGGAAGGGAGUGCGCCCCUCAGCGCACUAGCUCAGGCCCCACUCACGGGCGGGAAGGAGAGCUCUGGCUUCCCUGGAGGGGAAUGAGGGAGUUAGCGAUUUCCCUGCUCAGCUGCAGGGAGCUCUGCUUUAUAAGCAUCAGAUCCAUGCUAAUGAUGGCGGAACCGCUCUCUGGCUCUCUGAAACAACUCUGUCAGCCAUGAGGAAUAGUCAGCCUUUGCAGGGGAUGAAGGCACGCAGAAGCAGCCCACGGGGUUGGCCGGCCAUCUUGCAGAACCCUUGGUUAUUGGAAGGAAUAAUAGUUGAGUGUCUAGAGAUGAAUCAGUCCUUUUGGUCCCCGAGCAGGCCUGGGCUGUUACAGAGAGAGGAAAGGGAGGGAGAUGUGGUAAUGCAUUACAAUCUCAAAAACUAGAAAUUAA
Molecule: long non-coding RNA, 735 nt
Filed under: Rattus norvegicus (Norway rat)
Lineage: Eukaryota; Metazoa; Chordata; Mammalia; Rodentia; Muridae
Description: long non-coding RNA NONRATT009901
Source: RNAcentral